GGCUCCAUCGUCUAACGGCUAGGACAUUGCCCUCUCACGGCGAAAAUAGGGGUUCGAUUCCCCUUGGAGCUACCA
Molecule: transfer RNA, 75 nt
Filed under: bacterium
Lineage: Bacteria
Description: tRNA-Glu
Rfam family: tRNA
About the family: Transfer RNA (tRNA) molecules are approximately 80 nucleotides in length. Their secondary structure includes four short double-helical elements and three loops (D, anti-codon, and T loops).
Source: RNAcentral